AACGAACGCUGGCGGCAGGCCUAACACAUGCAAGUCGAACGCCCUAGCAAUAGGGAGUGACAGACGGGUGAGUAACACGUGGGAACCUUCCCUAUAGUACGGAAUAGCCCAGGGAAACUUGGAGUAAUACCGUAUACGCCCGUGAGGGGAAAGAUUUAUCGCUAUAGGAUGGGCCCGCGUAGGAUUAGCUAGUUGGUGAGGUAAUGGCUCACCAAGGCGACGAUCCUUAGCUGGUCUGAGAGGACGACCAGCCACACUGGGACUGAGACACGGCCCAGACUCCUACGGGAGGCAGCAGUGGGGAAUAUUGGACAAUGGGCGCAAGCCUGAUCCAGCCAUGCCGCGUGAGUGAUGAAGGCCUUAGGGUUGUAAAGCUCUUUUGUCGGGGACGAUAAUGACGGUACCCGAAGAAUAAGUCCCGGCUAACUUCGUGCCAGCCGCCGCAGUAA
Molecule: ribosomal RNA, 449 nt
Filed under: uncultured bacterium
Lineage: Bacteria
Description: partial 16S ribosomal RNA
Rfam family: Bacterial small subunit ribosomal RNA
Source: RNAcentral